Long non-coding RNA from Humulus lupulus (European hop), 1320 nucleotides. RefSeq lists it as uncharacterized. NCBI's taxonomy places the organism in Eukaryota, Viridiplantae, Streptophyta, Magnoliopsida, Rosales, Cannabaceae. The transcript is spliced from 3 exons. The record is from RefSeq and is a predicted model, not a curated record.
UCAACUUCCUGCUAAUACUUUACCAUAAAUUAAAAAAUUUAAACAACAUUUUAAAAAAAAUUAAACAAAAUAAAAAAAGAAACAUUUUCUUAUUCCUUACUUUGCUCCUCUUCCCUUUAAACCUUAUCUCUUUCAAAUAUUUCCAUCUUUCUCAAAAAUGGCUUCCUUCUUCUUCUUGUUGCCCCUUCGUCGUUCCUCUCUGCUAACCCCCACACCUCUCCAACGCUGUCCAUCUCCGCCAUCUUCGUCGCCUGUUGUGCUCUUCCAUAUUCGUCGUUCUAUUUGCUUUCUCUCUCAAUAACCACUUCACUCAAUCACAUGUAUUCAAUUUUUUUUUCUUCUAAUCUCAUUUUGAAUUUUCUCUUGAGUGGUUAUUUAAUCUUAUUAAAUUAUUGAAGAGCUAUUCUAUUGAUGGAUUUUAGUUGUAGGGUUUCUCCUUUCCAUAAUCUUGUUUCUAAGCCUUGUGUUUAAACAGAGUAAUGUUAGCUAUAUGAUGGGAAGACUUGUAUAUAAUAUUAGUAAUAUGCUAAGGAGUCAAUAUGCUAUCCCAGAAGUAUUCAUUAGAUGUGGGGAGUUUUUGGACAGAAAGCUAAAGAUGGUGGCUUGGAUGUUAUACCUCCUAUGUGUUUUGGAAUCUACACAAGCCUUCUCUUGGCAUGUAUGUAAUUUUCUUUUUCUUAAUCUUUUUAUUUUUAUUUUUAGUUUUUAUCCCUAAUUUUUCUUGCUAUUAUGCGGGUUUCAUUGUAGUGCAACUUUGAAGAAAGGAAUGAUUUGGUUGGGUUCAUCAAGACAAUCCAUAGAGCAGGACCCUAUGUUCUUCUCCGAAUUGAGCUUUAUAUUAGUUCAAAAUGGAGCUUUUGUGUUAACAACAACCAAUAACCACAGAUUGUGGUUUCUAUUGCAUGAAGUAUGCUAAGGAUCUCAUUUCACAACAAAAAUCCAGAGCAAAUCUAUCGAAUAAUGAAAUAAUUAAAUGUGUUUACCUUUUAACUUUCAUAAAGUUAUAUUUUAAUUACACAUAUAUUUGAAAUCUAACUUAUAAUUUCAAUUAUUUGUAGUUCAAUUCAGAUUUAUUGUAUACUAAUGCUGAACUUAAUGAAAUUCAAGAGGAGUGGGCAAAAUAUAUUCUACUGUUUCUCACUAAAUGAUGGCAUGCAUGUUCAGUACCUAUGUGAGGGGAUUUAGUCAUUUUUUGAACUUUGUAUUUCUUUUAUUAGAAAUUUUAAGAACUAAUCAAAUAUAAAAUCAAUCUAACAAAUUAUAGGUUGAGUUAGUUUAGCUUUUUGUUGAGGAUACUUUGCUAAAUAUCCAUUUUAUGAC